RNAcentral lists this ribosomal RNA (479 nucleotides) under Alteromonas sp. MED3. RNAcentral describes it as "bacterial SSU rRNA". It matches the Rfam family "Bacterial small subunit ribosomal RNA", at positions 33 to 509 of the family's 1533-position model. Lineage: Bacteria; Pseudomonadati; Pseudomonadota; Gammaproteobacteria; Alteromonadales; Alteromonadaceae. The record is from RNAcentral.
ACGCUGGCGGCAGGCCUAACACAUGCAAGUCGAACGGUAACAGGAAGUGCUUGCAACUUGCUGACGAGUGGCGGACGGGUGAGUAAUGCUUGGGAACUUCCCUUUGCGAGGGGGAUAACAGUUGGAAACGACUGCUAAUACCGCAUAANNUCUACGGACCAAACGGGGCUUAGGCUCCGGCGCAAAGAGAGGCCCAAGUGAGAUUAGCUAGUUGGUAAGGUAAAGGCUUACCAAGGCAACGAUCUCUAGCUGUUCUGAGAGGAAGAUCAGCCACACUGGAACUGAGACACGGUCCAGACUCCUACGGGAGGCAGCAGUGGGGAAUAUUGCACAAUGGGGGAAACCCUGAUGCAGCCAUGCCGCGUGUGUGAAGAAGGCCUUCGGGUUGUAAAGCACUUUCAGUUGUGAGGAAAAGUUAGUAGUUAAUACCUGCUAGCCGUGACGUUAACAACAGAAGAAGCACCGGCUAACUCCGUGCC